GGGGUCAGUUCGGCUGGAUCGGUGACAGGUGCUGCAUGGCUGUCGUCAGCUCGUGUCGUGAGAUGUUGGGUUAAGUCCCGCAACGAGCGCAACCCUUGUCCUUAGUUGCCAGCAUUCAGUUGGGCACUCUAAGGAGACUGCCGGUGUCAAACCGGAGGAAGGUGGGGAUGACGUCAAGUCCUCAUGGCCCUUAUGUCCAGGGCUACACACGUGCUACAAUGGCCGGUACAAAGGGGCGCAAGACCGCGAGGUGGAGCAAAUCCCAAAAAACCGGUCUCAGUUCGGAUUGGAGUCUGCAACUCGACUCCAUGAAGUUGGAAUCGCUAGUAAUCGCGUAUCAGCAUGACGCGGUGAAUACGUUCCCGGGCCUU
Molecule: ribosomal RNA, 371 nt
Filed under: uncultured Desulfuromonas sp.
Lineage: Bacteria; Pseudomonadati; Thermodesulfobacteriota; Desulfuromonadia; Desulfuromonadales; Desulfuromonadaceae
Description: bacterial SSU rRNA
Rfam family: Bacterial small subunit ribosomal RNA
Source: RNAcentral